Pelobates cultripes (western spadefoot toad) is the source of this 203-nucleotide non-coding RNA. The record is from the annotation of a GenBank genome assembly. Lineage: Eukaryota; Metazoa; Chordata; Amphibia; Anura; Pelobatidae.
CUGUAGGCACCCAAACCACUUCAGCUCAUUUAAGUGGUCUGGGUGCAGUGUCCAUUUUGCACCUGGUGCUGCAAUGUAAAAUAUUGUAGUUCCAAAUAAACUCUAAUGUUUACAUUGCAGCUCUAAGUCUGCCCUCAGUGGCUGACUACCAGACAGCCAUUAGAGGGUUUCCUGAAUUAAAAUGGACCUGCACAAGGACCUCC